UGAAGAAUUACUGCUUGGCUUUUCUGCUU
This 29-nucleotide non-coding RNA is filed under the name Mus musculus (house mouse). The record is from RNAcentral. Lineage: Eukaryota; Metazoa; Chordata; Mammalia; Rodentia; Muridae.